This 486-nucleotide ribosomal RNA is filed under the name uncultured bacterium. Its description in RNAcentral is "partial 16S ribosomal RNA". It matches the Rfam family "Bacterial small subunit ribosomal RNA", at positions 29 to 507 of the family's 1533-position model. The record is from RNAcentral.
AUUGAACGCUGGCGGCAUGCUUUACACAUGCAAGUCGAGCGGCAGCGCGGGGGCAACCCUGGCGGCGAGCGGCGAACGGGUGAGUAAUGCAUCGGAACGUAUCCUCGAGUGGGGGAUAACCCAGCGAAAGUUGGGCUAAUACCGCAUGAGCUCUGAGGAGGAAAGCGGGGGACCUGCGAGGGCCUCGCGCUGGAGGAGCGGCCGAUGUCCGAUUAGCUAGUUGGUGGGGUGAAGGCUUACCAAGGCGACGAUCGGUAGCUGGUCUGAGAGGAUGAUCAGCCACACUGGGACUGAGACACGGCCCAGACUCCUACGGGAGGCAGCAGUGGGGAAUUUUGGACAAUGGGGGCAACCCUGAUCCAGCCAUGCCGCGUGAGUGAAGAAGGCCUUCGGGUUGUAAAGCUCUUUCGGACGGAACGAAAUGGGCGGGACUAAUACUCCUGUCUGAUGACGGUACCGGAAGAAGAAGCACCGGCUAACUACGUG